This is a long non-coding RNA of Rhineura floridana, 577 nucleotides long. RefSeq lists it as uncharacterized. Lineage: Eukaryota; Metazoa; Chordata; Lepidosauria; Squamata; Rhineuridae. The transcript has 2 exons. The record is from RefSeq and is a predicted model, not a curated record.
UAUCUAUCUUGUGCUUUGCUUCAGGCAUCACAAUGUCUUUGGGAAAAGUUCAGCAGCCCCCACCUACCCAACAAUACUCCCCCUUGGCUCUACCUUUUGUAUUAUUAGUUUGCCUCUUAGAGUUUUCCAUAGACUGAGAAAAAAUGUACCCCUCACACACAGUAUUAAGAGUUGCGGUGAGAGCUGGCUGUAAGGAGGACCCAGGAUCCAAAGAUCCAUGCAACAAAUUCCACACACCCAAGAGCAUUUGGAUUUGUAUGAUUCUUACAUGGCAGCCCUGCUUGCCAGAUGGUAAACCACUUUGGAAAAUAGAGGAGAGUUUCUACAACAAGUUAUGAGGUGUUACAGGAAGUAGGGCCUGCUGUUCAGAGAAGAAAGUCAAAAACAACACAGGACCCAUGCAAGACCCCGACUAGAGCUGCUUUUUGGAUCCCAUCUCAUGUUAUUAAGGCUACAAUCUGAAAAUGAGAUUAAUUCAUACAUUCUUCCUCCCUCCUUGUAUUUCAGCUAUUGCUGAGUUCACAUAUUUUCAUCAUUUCUGUGCUUUGAUUUAAAUUAAAAUUUCCAGUGUAUUUUA